GGACGACCUCUUUCGAAGAGUUUCACCAACCAUGCGCAUGCCCGCCAUCGUCCGCGUGGCCGUGGCCUGCUGCCUGAACAUGUGCGGCGCCUGCCACUGCUCCGACCUGGCUGUCGUGGGCUUCCACCGCAAGCCGCCCCUGGAUUGACCACGAGUACCUGGACAACCUGUGCGAAAUCCCGCUGGCCAUCGCGUCCUGCCCCACCGGCGCUCUGAAGCCCGGCAAGACCGAUCUGACCGACGGCAAGAAAGUGAACACCAUCCUGGUGAACGACGACCGUUGAAUAGUACUGAGGUAACUGCUACACA
This 309-nucleotide ribosomal RNA is filed under the name uncultured sulfate-reducing bacterium. Its description in RNAcentral is "partial 16S ribosomal RNA". The record is from RNAcentral.